GAGAGAGACUCAGGAAGAAUGAGCCCAAAAUAGGGAAAGAUCACAACCCCAGCCAGACGAUGGGGAACCCUAUGUCCUCUGGAUCCCAAGAGAGGAUGUGCUAACCAACUUUCCCCUACCCACAGCGGGAGCACCAGCCAUUUAGCCUGCAGUGUGAGGCUGUGUACAAAGCCCUGAAGAUGCCCUACCGAAUCCUGCCUCGGCAGCUGCCCCAAAAGGAGCGUCAGGUGGCCACAGCUGUGCAAUGGACCAAGGCAGAAGGCAGCUAUGGCAUCCCACUGUGGAUCAUCAUCCUAGCCAUCCUGUUUGGCCUCCUGCUCCUAGGUCUACUCAUCUACAUCCUCUACAAGCUCGGAUUCUUCAAACGCUCCCUCCCAUAUGGCACCGCCAUGGAAAAAGCUCAGCUCAAGCCUCCAGCCACCUCUGAUGCCUGAGUCCUCCCAAUUUCAGACUCCCAUUCCUGAAGAACCAGUCCCCCCACCCUCAUUCUACUGAAAAGGAGGGG
RNAcentral lists this small RNA (505 nucleotides) under Pan troglodytes (chimpanzee). RNAcentral's name for it is "retained intron". Lineage: Eukaryota; Metazoa; Chordata; Mammalia; Primates; Hominidae. The record is from RNAcentral.